GGGCAAAGGAAUGUCUCAGUGUUGAUUGUAUAUUCCAUCUGCUGAGAUAGGAGAAAACUGCCUUAGGGCUGGAGGUGGGACAUGCUGGUUCCUGCUGACCCUCUCCCCACUAUUACCCUAUUGUCCUGCCACAUCCCCCUCUCUGAGAUGGUAGAGAUAAUGAUCAAUAAAUACUAGGGAACUCAGAGACUGGUGCCAGCGUGGGGCCCACCCCCCGAGGUAGUCCUGGGCUGAGCCCCAUGGGACCUAGAGAACCAGGGUGUACCCCACCAGCAUGUCGGGUCCAGGAAGCCUCGUGGCCAGCUCCCACUUCUCUUCCUGCUGUGCAACCCAGAGCAAGGCCUGCCCCUCCAGCUUCAGUCUUCUCCCCUGCAAAUGGGGCCACGGCCUUUCCUCUCAGGCCAAUAUAAGGAUUGAGGCCGGGUGCAGUGGCUACCCCUGUAAUCCUAGCACUUUGGGAGACUGAGAUUCUCUAUUGGUUUAAAUUUUUUUAAAAAAAAUUAAAUAAAUAAAAUAAGGAUUGAAGAGUGACUUGUACACCAGUUGAGCCCACCUCCAUCUCACCCUUGCAGAGCCCCAGAGACACAGCCCUCCAGAGCUCAGACCCAGUGGGACUUGACUCCACAGGCAUAAAACCCUGUUUGUCUAUGGGCCCUUUGGAAUCACCAGGUUUUCGGGGCUCCUGAAGGAUAGCCCCGACCUGGCCUCACCUGGCCCCUGGCCCCAGUGCCCCUGGUGAUAUCCAGGUGCUGGGCUGUGAUCACCGCCUCCCACCAGCCCACCUCCAC
RNAcentral lists this long non-coding RNA (788 nucleotides) under Homo sapiens (human). Its description in RNAcentral is "non-protein coding lnc-DGCR6-7:4". Lineage: Eukaryota; Metazoa; Chordata; Mammalia; Primates; Hominidae. The record is from RNAcentral.